Molecule: ribosomal RNA, 455 nt
Filed under: uncultured bacterium
Lineage: Bacteria
Description: SSU rRNA
Rfam family: Bacterial small subunit ribosomal RNA
Source: RNAcentral
AGAAUCAACGCUGGCGGCGUGCCUAACACAUGCAAGUCGCACGAGAAAGGGGAGCAAUCCCUGAGUAAAGUGGCGCACGGGUGAGUAACACGUGAAUCAUCUACCUCCGAGUGGGGAAUAACCUAGAGAAAUCUGGGCUAAUACCGCAUAACACUUACGAGUCAAAGCAGCAAUGCGCUUGGAGAGGAGUUCGCGGCCGAUUAGCUAGUUGGCGGGGUAAUGGCCCACCAAGGCGAUGAUCGGUAUCCGGCCUGAGAGGGCGCACGGACACACUGGAACUGAAACACGGUCCAGACUCCUACGGAGGCAGCAGUGGGGAAUUUUGCGCAAUGGGGAAACCCUGACGCAGCAACGCCGCGUGGAGGAUGAAAUAUCUUGGUAUGUAAACUCCUUUCGAUGGGAAGAUUAUGACGGUACCAUAGAAGAAGCCCGGCUAACUUCGCGCCAGCAGCCGC